AUCAGCAUCUGAAGUUUGUUUCUUUGGUUUUGUACUGGGGCUACAAAAGCUAAUGUAGCUUAUAGGCACAAGGUUAGCAAUUUGCAAACCGCAUGCUUAAAUUAUCACGCAAUUAGGCCAAUCACGAUUGUUACAACAUUAAAGUUGUAAUGUCCCAACGUCAUUCUACAAUCUUUAAAAAAUUACAUUAUUACAAUACACUUAGGCUUAAAUUAAAGUUGUGCUGGGAAGUUAACAGAAAAGACUAAAACAUUAUUGACAACUGAUUGAGCAAAAUCUUCUUAACUGUCCCCUAAUGAUCUCGCUAAUCUCCUAGAACUUUUCCAUAAGUUCUGCCAUUUCAGGCCUGUGCAGAGAUGCAAAAAUGCUGUAUAUGCUUGUAUCACUGCACAGCGUGAAGACAACGCAAUAUAAUUAAAACUCUACCGUAGAAACCCGAACAAAUCGGCAAAAUAUAUAACAAAAAAUUUGGUGUAUGUCGCUUCAGUGCACAAGUCACAGCAUCAGCUAGAGAGUAAUAAACUCUAGUUGAGACAAUUGGGGAUGGUAAUUACUGCAUUAAUAAGAAUAACACUCAAAAAAUUGACUUUAUUUUCGCGUAAUGCUGAACAGUUUAUACAUUCUGUAUACAGAACUGUAUAACAGUAUAAAGCGCUGUGUAUUGUCGCUCGCCGCCUGAAGGCACUGCACUGAGGCUGACCCCAUGGGAACAGCACACACGGGGUUUAGGAGCUAAACUGCACAGUGUGAAGAAGCAACACAACACAACCCAGUGGUGUAAUUAUCACGUUGAAAAGGUGGGAAUGGCUCCAGCAUAAACACCGUAAAUGGUUUAUACACAAACGGUUGCAUCAGACAUAACAUCAAGCGCGUAGAGCCUUAAACCAGGUACUAAAUUACACACUGCUCCUGAUUAUCACAGCACAGAGUAAGCAAGUCCUAGACAAUACAGUCAACAGCCACAAGACCAGAGGCAUGAGCAUCCACGAGCUUGUUUAUGGCUGUGCCCAAGUAAAAAAAUAAAAAGAUAAAACUGAAAGGUACAGCGUUCUGUAGCUGUACCAGUGGCUGAGUCAUGUGACAUCAUGAAACCAGGAACAACUGGUUAUAAUUUCAGUCUGAGCAAUGGGUUACGUAUUACGAAAUCCUCUAAAUACCACUCCACGUUCAGUCCAUAAUACUUACAGCACUAGCCCAACAUUAUUAUAACAAGGUUUUAAGAAGGUUAGGCUGCAAUGUUUAAAAAAAUAACAUUCCUGCACUGUUACAAAACAUUCUGCUUUUUCUCCAUGGGCUGUAUUCUGAGUUGAGUUAUGCACACAUAAAGAGGAUUUAAUUCUGAUAUUGCGCACAUCAGUAUUCAGACCUCAUUUCUGGAUGCUUGAGUAAAACAGAGGCAUGUCUCAGACGCAGUUUUAUCUUUGGACAUUUUUCUUGCGUGAUAUCGGCUCAAGUGACAAGCAGUAUGAAGUCCAGCAUCAGUGUAUUAUAGUUUGAUGUAACUGCAAUAUGUCACACUGAAAUUUAGGUUUUAGAUGUAAAUACAGAUUAUAUUGUGUGGACACAUUAUGAUUUAAUUACCCCGAUUUAGUAUGUUGUGGUUUCAUUAAGUUGUGCGCAUGAAGUAAGUGUCAGCGCAUUAUACGCUGGAUCAAGUGCUAUUUUGAUCAUUUAAUAUUGCGUCCGUGUUACAUCGUAUAACAUUUAACUGCAUGUUUCCUACUUCAGUCUGUAUUUUCUAUCCCUGAUUUUUUUUUUUUCAGGUUUAAAGGCUCUGUAUUAAGACAGUUGUCUAGAUGGUAUUGAAAAACCCCGUCCUUGAUGCUUCUACUCAGUGAUAACCUCAGUGGUAUGAACUCUACUCUACUUAUUUUAUUCAUCUAAAUGUAUAGCCCGCAAAAGGUAAAGAUAAGAUAAAACAAUCUGACAUUUGGUAACUGGAAAUAAUCUGAACCUUACAAUAUGGCAGUAUUUAAAAACGGCUUCAUGAUACAUGAUAAAGGUCAGCAAAACAGUUGAGUCACAUCUGAACAAAAAGUUCAGAUUCAGUCAGCUGAGUAACAGUGGAGUUAAAGAAGCAAUGACUCCUCGUAUCAGGAUGUUAAUAUAAUCCCAAUAACAAUAUAUUGCCAUCUCGUCUAGCCUUAAUAUAUAAGGUCAAUUAUAUAACAAAGUUAUAUAUAAAAUUUUAAAAAGUUUUACACAUUUCUAGAUCCUAAAUCCAGCCCUAAUGGCUUACACAAAAAGAAGAGAAGUGCUUACACACUUGAGUCAGAAAAGCUGUUAAGCCUGUAUGAAUGCAUGAACAGGACAUAUUGGUUUCUUCCUCAAUGCGAGUGUGUGUGUGUGUGUGUGUGUGUGGUUGAAACUUGGUGCUGUAAAUAAACCAGACCAGCUCAGUCAGAGAAUCUAAUAAAGACAUACUUAUUGUAUCUGCACAGUGAAAAGGCCAGGAUGACGCGCACAGGGUUUAACAAAAAGGGUUGCUGAAUCAUCACUCACACACAGACACACACACACAGACACACACACAGAUUUCUCCUAAAUACUCCCAAAUGCCCUUUUCCGAAGUCCCCCAAUGCGCUCUCCAUGCUAAAACACACUAAUGUUCAUCAUGAAAUGUUUGUGAUUAGUGAUUCUGCUGCUAAUUUGUUGGUUGGUGCUGUAUUUUUCUUCUCAUGUUCUUCUCAUCUUCUCAGUUCUUCUCAUGAGAAGUUAGCGGUUGACCUCACCGGGGAGCAUUGUUAUUGCUCGCACAGUUACAAUGGCAUUUACUAAGGAUUUCUUUCCUCAUUUUUCAGCUUUAAAUGAUUUCCUUUCCCCUAAAACACCAUACACUUAGUUUACUGGCAAAUCACGGUAUGUGAACAAGUUCAACCCAGGUGUAAAGCUAUACAGAAUUGCACUUUUUCCAUGUACUACACAGUUAUAGAAGAGAUUUAUUUAUAAUCGCACUAUCCAUUAUCACCCAGAUGAGGAUGGGUUCCCUUUUGAGUCUGGUUCCUCUCAAGGUUUCUUCCUCAUAUUGUCUCAGGAAGUUUUUCUUCGCCACCGUCACCUCUGGCUUGUGCAUUAGGGAUAAAUUCACACAUUUACAAUUAAUUUCGAUUAAAUUUAUUUUGAAUGUAUUUAUUUUAUGUGACAAUGUCCAUUGUUAAAAGCGCUGUACAAAUAAAAUUGAAUCGAAUUGAAUUAUACAGAAGACUUCAGCCUUUCUAGAAAGCUAACUAUUAAUAUUUAGCUAUGUAAUAUCCUGCUAGUUUAAAUAGGUCACCCAUACAGCAGGCGGCAACUGCUGUAUUUAUUUAAUUAUAAAAUACAAGUAAUAACAAACUUUUCAUUUAAACAAAUGGAUAAUAAGCUGGACUAUCUUUAACAGCUAGCCCUGUCGACGCUCUAAUACUUAGCUAGCUAUAUACUGCAGAAAAGCUACUGUAGUUAAAUGACUUAUUCGGUAAACUCAUUUUAUUUGAUUCCUUCAUUAGUAACAUAUUUUAAGAUGUACAUUUGGCAAUAAGGUUAACUUCAGUAUAACUAGUAUAAAACUGCAGUGUUGAUUUUUUUAUGCUAACAUACCAUUACCUGUAGAAAUACAGUUUUGAUGUAAACAAGCAUUACAGUAGGAAGGCUGUAAAUAUUAAGUAAAGUAACUACCUGGCAACUCUACAGCGAUUUAUACGGUUGUUUACAAUAUACAGAAAUAUUGAAGUACCAUCCAAGUAGGCAGGUAUGGGAGUAUCCUUCCUUCAGAAGAACCCAGAAUUCCCCAGACAGUGUGAGAAUUCCCUACACCCUCACGCCAUGUAUGAUAAAAUACGGCCACACAGCCUGUGGGAACCAGAACAUUCCUCGGCUGCUUGUUGUGUCUUUGGAAAGAUUAAUGUGUCUUCCAUAUUAGGAGAGGAAGAGCGAACCCAAUCUGACAAUCUGUGCGGAACAGAUAUGACCUUCACAUCUGAUUGGUUGAAACCGAAAGCGUCAUUUUUGCGAGUGAUUAUGGUAGUGGAAUCUUGUUGAUACCAGCAUUCCAUGCUAUAUGAUAGUAUGUGACGUAAGCCACGCUAAUGAAGAAAUGACAUGAAAUCUGGAUGUAUUCUACUAUUAAUAAUGGCAAUCAAAGCAAACUAUGAUAAUAGAUAAAUAUCAAGGAGGAAGUACAGCAUCUUCCUAAAAUAGAAGUAAGCUGAUAAAACAUCUUAUGAUAUUUAAACAGUCUGUUUAAUAGAGAGUGCGAGUGCAUAUCAUCUCUGUCCCUCACAUGCGAGAGUUUCUCUGCACGCUCGCUUCACUGCUCCACACGCAUGUGAGAGGGAGAGAACACUUCAGAUUGGUGAGCACUGAGCACUUUGCUCUAAACUUUGCAAUAUACAGCACACUGUGUGCAUAUUUAAUGACCAUACUUGCUGUACUUCUCUGUGCACUAAGGUCAGCUGACCUUGAUCUCUCUAUAAAAGAUACUGUUUAAACAGCAUCUUAAAUCUUAAAUAAGCUUAAACAAUCUUCAACAUCUUAAUAAUGAGGAGUUCAUUGCUAGCAGCACACCAACAGGUAAGUAGGUUACUCAUUUAAUUAUCGGUGCCAACGGGUACCAAAACAUGCACUUGUAAUUAUACUCAUUCUGAAAAAAAUGGCAUACAUCGAUACAUCCCUAGUCUUGUGAUCAGUGGUUGGAAGAAAUGAUCCACACCUAUAAGACCAGCAGUGAAGAACUUUCCCAUCUAGCGUUAACUUGUAAUCUGUAAUACUGACAGCUGGUUGGCUUACUGAGAGAGAAGAGAGUGGGUGGAAUACUCCUCAGUGUCGGGAAAUGAGCUAACUUUUCCAUGGUGAAGCCAUUGAAUACCAGACACGUGGGUUUUCAUUACUGAGGAACAUCAUGCAAGGCCAAACGUCUAGCCAGGGUGAUAAGUGAAAAGUGAAAUGAGUCCAAACAAGUCACACCCAUGUGGAAGAUGUUUGCGAAAAAAAAAGGGACAGGCAACCACAUUAUGUAAUAUUGGUGCAACCUUGAGGUUGCCAGGAGAAAACACUGACUACUGAGUAAACUAUGGUUUGAUGAAGGCUGGGAGUGUAAAACCCUCAAGGUAUGGACCCUACAGUAGGAAAAACCCUAAUGGCCUAGACAGUCAUAAUAAUACAACUGGUAUUAUUACUGGUGAAGAAAACUAUUGGUUUUCUUUAGUAUAUAGUUUUAAUACAAGGCAUUUUUACAACAUGCCUGAGUCUAGGGCUCGGCGAUAUGAAGGUAUAAUAUCAAUAUCAUGAUAAAUUAUGACCUAAUAAGCUUUUCUGAGCUAUCAAUAUAACUUUUUUUAUUAUUUUUAAUAGUUUCAAACUGACUGGAAGUAGCUGAUGUAAUGUUAAAAUGUUGUACUUAUGAUACUUAUCGUGUUUCGUAGAAAUACCUUAGAGAUUUGCAAAAUGAUAUUUUUAUCAUAUUGCCUACCCUUGUCUGUGUUAAACAGCAAAAACAAAUCAAAAUGAAUCCAGUUCUACAUUAAAAUUUAGACAGCGCUAAACUGUGACGUAUCACACUUUAAAUGCAUACAUAAGAUUAUCAGUUUACCAUGACUCUAAAGGACAGAUCCACAUUUUAUUUUCUGAAACUGCUCUACAAUUUGGUGAAAAGAGCAUGCUAUUUUUAUUUGGUGGGAAAACUUACUAUAAAAUUGCUACUUUACAUGAUUUUGUUUAAAUUCAAAUACCAAAUGCUUCCAGGAAGUUUUUGCAGUUCUCAAGCAUGCAGUUCCAAAAAAAAGCAUCAUGCUAGAUUGUACAACCCUUCGUGUAGGCAAUGUUGGCUUUGAAAAAAAAAAAAAGAUGUCAUAUAAUAGCAUAAUUGAGAGACAAUGGAGAGUCGACAUGCAGCUCGGGUUACGUUGUAACAGUUAAAGCUUUGAUUCACAAGGUUUCAGAGCGUCUCAGUCACGCUACAACUUCUUGCCCUUCAUCUUAGGGUUGCCGCCAAACAAUGCAAAUGGGUGAAAGAUAAUGAAACCAUCAAAGUUGAAAUAAUAAAACUCCUCCAAGCCUCAGUGAACAUCAUCCCCCUCCUUCUCCUCAGGUCAGGGUUCUUCUUUCAUCAUGAGAGCUUCUGGAGAACAGCGGUAAUGAAAUCUUGACAGUUUUGGCAACAGCGUCACUUUGACUAAGCUGCAGGCUCACAAUGCAGCGGGUGGUUUCAGGUUUUGAAAUUUUUACUGUGUUAAAAUGGAACAAAGCACAGAUUGUGGUUAAUGGAGAUGGAGACUUCUCAGGUUUAAAUAAAGUGAGGACAGUGAGCGACUUGAGAAUUUGUUUGAAGUUCCACAGCCCUGGAGUGUGUACAUGGGCCUGUCCUCAGUGGAUAAAUUAAGGUAUAAGCUAUAAUGCUUUGGCAUUAAGAGAAGGACCAUGCUUCAGCCGCAGAUUAUGAUUAAUGGAGAUGGAGACUUGGGGUCUUGGAUAACCAUUUAAAUAAAGUGGGGGCAGGGACUGACUAGAGAACUUCAUUGGUGUGCAUUUGAAGUUCCACAGCCCUUGAGUGUGAGUGUAUAUGGCUUUGUCCUCGUUUGCUAAAUUAAAGUACAGUAUAAGCUGUCAUGCUUUGGCAUCACUUUGGACAGGAGCCAUCAAAAAGACAACUGAAUUAUGACCAGGUCUGUGCUAUAACUGCAGAUUGUGGUUAAUAGAGGUAGAGCCUUGGGUUCUUGGACUUUUUAAAUAAACUGAGGACAGUGAUCAACUUGAGAACUUCUUUGAUGCACAUUUUUAAGUUCAACAGCCCUUGAAGGUGGGUGUAUAUGGGACUGUCGUUAAAAUUAUGGUGUAAGCUAUCAUUCAGGCUUUCUUCUUCCUUUGGAUCACAGGUUUCCAACCCUAGUCCUGGAGUAUCCCCUGUCCUGCAAAUUUUAGGGUUCUCCCUGCUCUAACUCAUCCACUUCAACUCAUGAAGAACUGUUAAUUAGCUGGUGGUCGAAUCAGGUAUGUGGGAGCAUGGAAAACACUAAAAUGUGCAGAGGGUACUCUGGGACAAGAGUUGGGAAACCUGUGCUUUGGAGAAAAGUGGCCUCAACUGGAAAUGUUGAUGCUUCAGAAGAGAAACAACCAGGGGACUGUCCUCACUGAGUAAAUUUGGUGUCACUGCUUUGAUAUCACUUUGUAAAGAAGGUCUACACUUUAGAACCAACUGUUACCUUUCAUUCAUUCAUCAUCAGUAAACACGUUUUCCUGGUCAGGAUCACGGUGGAUCCAGAGUCUACCCUGGAAACACUGGGUGCAAGGCGGCAAUCCACCUGGAUGUGAUGCCAGUCACACCUAGGGGCAAUUUAGAGGAUUGGGAGGAAACCACAGAACCUGGAGGAAACCCACCUGGACAUGGGGAGGACAUGCUAAACUCCACAAGGCCAGUAGCCUGAGCUCAGGAUCAAAUCCAGGACCCUGUAGCUGUGAGGCAGCAAUAUACCGGCUAUACCACCAUGCCACCACAAGAACACUAGGCAUGAGGUGAAACUAGACAAACCCUUGAUUUUAUGGUGGUUUCUGCCCUGAGCAGAGUGUUCCACAUAAGUAUUACUUUUUGCAUACUAUCUGACGUCAAGAAAAUACCAUCACUGAAGACACUUCACAUUGUACAGGCUAUCAUACAGACUAUCUUCUAGCACAUAGAGACUUCUGUUCUCUUUCUGAAAGCAGGUUGGGAUACAAUGCCACAAGCAGUGUUUAAUAAGGAUCUAAUAAACAAACUCAUGCACACCCUCUUGAUUUACAGAGAAAACAGACUGAUACAUUUUAACUGCCUUUCUUUUGUGAGUCUCUUUCACUCCUCCUUCCCGUCUUCGUCUGUGGGCAAUGAGGAAAGCAGGGAAAAGUUCAAUCCACCCCAGCAACCAGCUGAUUCCCAUCCAAAAAGCUGGGAGGAGGAAUUAGUGGAAUGCACUGGUGCUUCGAGACAAACAACCCCACUUUGUUUCCUGCUCACUCUGAUACAGGAGGAAUGCAAGCGCUCUGAAAAGAGACGGCUUCACAAAGACUAACAUUUACCAUUGUUACACAGUAAAAACACUCUGCUCUUGUUAAAGAUCCAGGAGCUAAGAUAUUUUCUGGCUGCCACAUGAGCUUGCCUAAGCAUUAGAGAGGAUCCAUGAUGUGUCUGACUCUCGGGAAAAAAAAAAACUUCUACAAAGAUUCUACUGUAUCUCCUUAGUAGAAAUCUUCUACGCAGCCCAAUUGCAAAGAGGUUUAAACCAAACUUAUGCUAAGUAUGGCUGGGGGUCAUAGACAGGCCCAAUGGCCAGGCUAUCAUUGGAUGGGAGAGAUAGUUGUUUCCAAUGCUGCUGUCAGUCUCACUGAGAGGUAUAGUGAGCUCAGAAGUAUUGGCACCAUUGAGAUUGGAAAUAUGCAAGAAAUUUAACUGUUAAUGGAAAAUUCUAAGAAAAAUAUUAAAAAUCUAUUAAAAAUCAAGAAAUCAAGAAACAAAACCAAAAUUACAAUUAUUGGCAGUGUAACUGAAGAAGGUUCCCAUUUAUAAGUUCAGUGUUUAACAACACUGUUUUUAAUAACUUUAAAUAGGUUUGUGUGUUUAAGAACUUUUGAAUAGAGAUUAUGUUGUGUGUGAUGGUGUGUAUAAAUAUAUAAUAAGGAUGUAACUGAAUACAAAUAAAUAAUUCAGAAUGAACAGAUAAUGUGUUCUAAACAGAUACAAAUACAGAUAGGAAUAGUGUUUUUAGAAAGCUUGCCAUUUUUUUAAAUAUUUGGAGCUGAUAGAGUGUCCGUGUGUUGCAUCCCUAAUUGUGUAAUUGUGUAUUGAAGUCUGCCCAUGAAUGUGUGUUUGGCUGGCGCUUCUUCGAUUAGAUUGCCUUUCUGGAAUGUUCACUAUUCACAGAAUACACAAUGAUUCAUAUUUUAUAGUGUCUUUUUUGUAAAUUUUCUUAACUCUGUGAAAUAUUUAGAUGUUCAUGGUAUUAGAUUUGGCAAACACACCACACAGGAUUACUAUUUUGUUUAUUUUGCCUGCUCUGACACAUUUCAUACAGAUCAUAAAGAUCACUGAUAAUUAUCUGGCUAGUUAAUUCAGGCCAGUUGAAACAAAGACUCCUGAAGGCAACAAAUGCAAGUGCAUAGUUUCGUCCAAGAAUUGCUGAGCUGCUCCAAGAUGCUGCAUCAUCAGCAGUUGCAUGACAGUCUUUAUGCAUGACAGGAAACUAUGUAAAUGUUUGUCAUUGCAGUAAAGACCAGUGGGAACUGGCUGGGAAUGAGUUAAAAUAGAACAAGCUUAACUGACAUUCCUGCAUUGCUAGAAGAAACACAGGAUGCAAAUAAAGGCAUUGUUUUCCAAAUGACCAAAUGGACCACAGGGGAUGCUAAUGUAUGUCCUCUCAUCCCAUUCUACAUAAAUACUGAGCAAGGAUAAUAUUAGAUUGCAAGCACUUGCAAAACCUACUGACAAAGCUGAAGGUCGCAACCAUUUAUAUCAAGGUUGUAUGAGACAAGAGGCAGUUAAAGCCCUGAAGGUUGCACCGUGUAAAUGCACAGCUAUUACAGCUCUUUUUUAUUUUGGUAAACUAUGCAUCAAAUCGUUCGGAGUUAGUCAUGAGUGAAGGCCACACCACAAAAUAAUUUGGCUUUUAUUGUUGAAACAAGAGGAGGGAGAUUUCAACAUCAAUCGUUCUCCUUUGGCUGUUACAUAUAUAUUCUGCUGCUUUGUGACAAUGUCCUAUAAAAAAAAAAAAGCAAAAAAAAAAAGCACUAUACAAAUAAAAUUUAGUUGAAUUGAACAAACCAACUAUUUCAUAAGAAAAGAACACAGUCUAAAAAAAUAGUGAACUGAGGAAAGAAAGGAAAAUAUAGAUGGGAUCGGAACAUGAGAAGUAUUUUGCCAUUAGAUUUUGUGUUGUAAUUUACUGCAUGCUCUUAGAGAAAAGGUUUGAGAGAACAGGGGUGUUCAGUUGCAUACCUUGAGAUGUUGUGACCCAUCAGAGGUGGGUGGUGGUCAUUUGAUCAUUUUCGGUUUUCUGUCUACUUCCUGGAUUAUUUCAUAUAUAAGUCCAUGCUUACUGCGAAGUCUUUCCAUUCUCUUGCAGCAAGUUCUGAGCUUUGUUUCCCUGUUUGCCUUAUUCGCGCCUUGACAGUUUUCCCAUGGCCUUUUUGACUAUUCUUUUAGAUUCUCCUUGUGAUUUUGAUAUGUGAUGCCUACAACGUGUUUGAACUUUGCUAACUUGUAUUGUGAUUUAAUAAACUUUGCACAUGGAUCCUAUCUACUCUGCUGAGCCUGGUUUGUUACAAAGGGAUAGCAGAUACUGAAUGCCAGGAUGCAAUGAGUGGAGUAUAGUCACAAAGAGAACAUUCAUGGAGAUGUUUGCAGGAAAAAGAAAUAUUCCUUGUGGCUAAACUUUGUUGCACCAUCCAGCUGUGACCCACAGACAGGACGGGGUUGGAGACAGGCCUGGUCAGUUAGGGUCAGGAGAAAAAAAAAAAAAAAAAACAGUGGAUACCAAAUUCCUGGCCUCAGGAAUGACAAACAGAGCAGAUGACAAGAGCAAGAAAGUCAGAGCAAGUUUACUUGCUGUAGACAACUGUAGUCAUUAUGGGUUCAGUUGUUGGGUGUCCAUUAAGAAACAAAAACAAACAAGUUGACAGGUUCAAUUCAAUUAAAAUGUAUUUGUAUAGUGUUUUAACAAUAGAUACCGUGACUAAGCAGCUUUACAGAAAUUCGGAUGUAGAUUUAGGGCGUUUUUACAACUUGGGGGUCAUGAUUGCAGGUUUGCUUUCACAUAGAAGAAUUCCUUCUGAACCUUGGAUCGAUUGUGCAAUUCCAACCGUCACUUUGUGCAAAAUACUAAGCACUAGGUUCAUCUGCUGAGAGCAGAUAGCUUCCACACCUAAUGCAGACCGCAUCAUGGUUGGGUUGAAGCAAGCACCAGACCACCAUUUUCAAGAGGACCAGGGAUUGGUUCUCUGGACUACUCCUGAGUUCAAAAACAGCUUUCACACUUCACCAAAAGUACUGAACUCUUGUGGAAAGCAGCUGUGAAUCCAGAAAAAAUGCAGAACGUCAAGUCCCAAAUGAGCAAGCCAGUGGUAAGUAAAAACUCCCUGAGACAACAUGAGGAAGAAACCUUGAAGUGAAACCUCUACAGUAGGUGCUAAGAAUAUUGAUGAUUAUUAACAAAUGGAUGCUAUGAAGCUUAUAGCUCAAAAGUUUAAAAAAAAAAAAUACAUUCUACAGAACUUGGUGUCUUACAAGACAUGCAAUAUUCUUGAAGACCUGACAGCCUGACAGGCAAUUUAGCUGAUACUACAACACUCUAGAUCGGCUGGUUUGCCACAUGGAGUUUAGUCGUUGAGAUUCACUUUCCUAUUAGCUAAGAACUGCUGUGGUAGCUGACAGCAUAGACAAACCGCUCCCUGGGCCCCUGUUUGUCUGAUGUGGUCUGGCUGUUGUUGUAUCCACACUCCUCUGUCUGAUGUUCAUUAAACGAGGUGUCUUAAAUUUUCAUGAAAAUUCCCCAACCAAAUACCACCCCCUACCCUUCUCUCGGUUAACAUCUCUCCGAGAUCAGAGAGCGCUAAUCCGGGCUACAGCUGUGGUGAACUGUGUUAUAGACUACUCUUUCCUGCCUAAAACUCUUUGUAAUAGGAGAAUGUGUGAGCAAUAUGGUAUCUGGUUAUACAUAAAAAUGAGACUGGAGUUGCAAAAAUUAAAAAGUUUCUCAAUCGUUAAUCAUAAUGGAGUCUCUAAAGCAGGGGCCCCUUUAACUGUAAAAUAAAUUCCAUGGAUCAUGUACAGAGUUAUUUUAUGAAUAAUAUUUUGUAUACUUGUUAGAGCCAUAGAGCUUUCUAUUCCUGAGUUUUCCACUGACAGAACACAUUAGAUCCAAGUUGAUUUAUACUGUAGGCCUACUUGUUUUUUGUUAUUGAGUUAUUGGGGUUUGGAUUAAACCCAUUUAAUUCAUCCAGCCAGUCAAACAGGCAAAUAACUCUAAGACCUCAAUAAUAAAUAUAAUAACUUUCCACUGCAGUAACUAAAUGAGAACCACUUGAGAACCACUUCAUAAAAAAUAUUGUGUGAUUUAAAUCUUCUUUACAUGCUUCCUGAGUCCUACAGCAUGAACAUUUUAUUGGCACUUAAAAAAAUGACAUUUAUAUCAUUCACUUGUAAACACGUCUAGACGUGGCUAUACCCGGCCUUUAUUAGACGAGGCACAUCAGAAAUAAAUGACGCCCACCCAAUGUAUUACACCAAUGAAAGCCCAGGGAUGAACUGAAGUUGAAGUUGAUUGCUUGAUCCUUUCCCCUUGAUUUGACAGCGCAAGGAAAACGCAGGCUUUUAUCCUGCCGACUUCACCCAGAUGUCCCUCGACCGUGUCUUCAAAGGACACCAGCUUACAAAAAAACAACAUUUUUGCUCUAGGGGAGACUAGGGGUGUAACGCAACGACAUUAUCUCUAGCAGUAUCUGUUUAGUGCUCCAAAUACCCGUAUUUAUAUUUACCAUUUGGCCCCAGAAACACUGGAAAAACCCAGAAGUAGAAAUGGCAGAGGUAGAAUUGAAUAGUACUCCUCUUAUAUAUAUAUAUCUGCAUAGAACACAUCAACUGUUCAUUCUGAAUAAUGUAUUCAUAUUUGUUACACCCCUUAGUCCAGGUAGAUGCUUCAAGAAAGAUUAGUUUCUUGCUGGAUGGUGAGAGUAAACUGGCAACCUGGCCCUCGAGUUGUCGAUCCAACCUAACAAAGGCUUCACCAGAGUUUGAGUCAUGCUUAUGAAUACCAGGAUGUUAAAUCAUCAGUGUUACUGCCAAUCGGGACAGUGUGGUCAGGCCAGACAGGUAUAAUUCUGUCAUGCCAUAUUACUAUCACCAAGCCCAGAUUCCAAUAGGAUCUCUGGAUGGGGAUUUUUUUUUUUUUUUUACAGUCUCUGGCACUGGGACAUGAUGUCCAGUCCACCAGACGUCAGACAGGAAGCUUAAUGCCCCCAAGGAUAUUCGUGUCACACCAUGGCUCGAUGUGUCACCCAGUGACAAAAAUGCAUUAUUGAUUUCACACUAGCUUCUUGUGCCUCAGUACUUCAUCUGGAAAGAUCUCAAAGUCUGUCUCCUUCCCAGACGUUCCGAAGCGCUUCUUAAGACGCCCUCUGAGGCCACGCCCCUUCACUGGAAAGAAAGAUACUGAAAUGCACGAUGCCAAAGGAAAGUCAUUAGAUAACGUUUCUAAAAAAAAAAAAAAAAAAAAAAUUUAAGUGCACUGAUUUGAAAAAAAAAAAGAAAAAGGUACUAAGGAGAACCUUUCAUUGUUGCUGUGGUGGAGGCACAUAUUUUGUAGCUUUCGGUAAGUACCUUUUACGUUUGCAUGUACAGGACCUUUGAAAUGUUUACAAACUUUUGCACAAAACCAGAUUCUACAUCUGAAGUUCAAUGAACCAUACAAAGUUUAACCCCAACAACAAUCUGCAAUCACUGUUUUUUUUGCCAGUUUUAUCUCUCAACCAGGAAUUCUCAUGGCUUAUUCACACGGCACGACCCUCCGGUGCUCCACAACUAACAAUGCAACAGCACAGGAUGAAGCACGAUUGCGCCAAAUAUAGCAACAGCAGCCUCGAGCGUGACCUUUCCCUCCCUGGAGCUAAUCCGGGUGGGCUCCAAGCACUGAUUGUAGAGACAUCUGUCCCAGAAAAAUGAAAUAGGACCCGGAACCUUCUGCUACGCUGAAUAACCCCUUUAACACUCCUUUGUGAAUGGAGGUGCAGGGAGUUAAGGGAAAAUGAUGCCAUGCUGUAGUUGGUACACCUGGACCUUCUUGGUGGCACGCUGUCUGAAUCAGAGCAAGUGCAGCACUAGUGUGACCUUUUUAGGAAGAGCUCCUGCAGAUGUCUCACACCUCAGGAAUUUCAGGAAUACAACCAGCUGGAGAAUGAGCUCUGCUACGCAGGUGGUCCAAUUAUAGUCAUUCCGAACAAACCUGGUGCUCCACAUCAUCUACGAUGGUCUACGAGAAUCUACGAGAUCAUCUACCAUGUUCUGUUGGGGGCUUUUGGGUCUCGUGCGUGUAGUACUUCAUGUUUGUCUGAUCAUAGAUUAAUUUCAGUCGUUACCUUUUAAAUCCAAAUUGUUGGAUCAUUCCACCCCGUAGUCACUCUGUGUGACAAAGUUUUGAACUACAAUCACUUUACGCAAUAACAGCUAUGACGUACCUUAAGUGUCUGAGGUGCAACCGAAGUUCCACACCAGUCCUCCUGAUGUAUGGUUUAGGAUCGAUUUUACAACCUGGCCGAGCAUCUCCAGUUCACACCAAAGACCGUCUGGCUUUUUGUCUUUAUCUAUCUGCAGCUGGCUGUAAAAUCUUUUUAAUGUUCAUCAGGAUGUGCAAAUGUAUAAUUUGCAUAAAAACAGGUGAAUAAAAACAGCCCCGUUUUCUCCUGCUGUACACUCCUGUGAUCUUUCUUGCUUCAAUAUCUGCAUAUCGUAUAUACACGCGUCAGUAAUACUUUGUGUCUUUGUUCUCGAUCUACUUUCCUCAGUUCAGUGGGUUACGUUAAGGAUCACGUAACUUCCGACUUCAAAGAGCCAUGUGACGAUUUAACCACACUGGAAAUUCCUCUCACGAGCACGGUGGUCAGAUAGUCUUUAAGAAUGACUUUGGCAAAAGAGGAACAUGUUGAAAUCAUUCUCAUGGCUGGAUCGGGAAGCUGUCGCAAGGUUGCGUUGGACUUUAACAGGAACCAUGGCAAGCUCAUCAUGCACGACACUGUUGCCA
This is a long non-coding RNA of Pangasianodon hypophthalmus (striped catfish), 14729 nucleotides long. RefSeq lists it as uncharacterized. The record is from RefSeq and is a predicted model, not a curated record. The transcript is spliced from 3 exons. NCBI's taxonomy places the organism in Eukaryota, Metazoa, Chordata, Actinopteri, Siluriformes, Pangasiidae.